Molecule: long non-coding RNA, 577 nt
Organism: Populus euphratica (Euphrates poplar)
Lineage: Eukaryota; Viridiplantae; Streptophyta; Magnoliopsida; Malpighiales; Salicaceae
Exons: 2
Source: RefSeq, a predicted model, not a curated record
UGGUGCGAAGAUUUGUUAAUUGAGCCAACAGAAACCAGUAGAAAUGCCAUGACCCAGAUAGAGUAGCAGGCAUGAACAUUAUACCUGCAUAAAAUUCUAAAUCUCCUGCUAAGGCAUGGUUCUGGGUUGUUGUCACUUGGUAUUUUUAUUACCUGUGCUCUUGUCUGUUCUUUCAAAGUGAUUUGCCAUUUUCCAGUGAGAAUUGUGAAGUCAAAUGAGCGUAGCCUGCUUUCUGGUAUAGGAUGCUAUGGAUGAGAUGAUUUGCCCCCCAAUCUUCAAAGCUACCCGAUAGUCAUGUUAUCGAAAGGGAAACGGAAUGGCAAGUCAGAUGUGAUUUAGAAUAAAGAACUAGAGCAAAUGGUCGUCUUCCAUUCGAACACCUAUUCCAGUAGGCGGUUGAAAAUCAGUUUACGAGGAUGACCUUGAGAACAAUUCUAAUCCAUGUGUAGGCGUGCUAAUAUUCAAGUUACAAUUGACUUGAAACUUUGGGUAAAUUCUUUACGUUUUCAGUUAAGAAACUAAAGUUGGCCAUGUGUGAUUGUGAAUUAGUUUAUUUAAUCCAUGUAGUCUUUUCUCA